UUGUCGCAAUCCCUAAACCCGUAGGGGUUUCCAUAUGUUUGUCAUUAUCCCUGAAAACACCUUAGGUCUAUCUUUAUCAUAAAUCUGCAUUGCAUCUCCAUGAAAAAACUUUUAGCAUACCUAAAAUUCGAAGGACAAAUAUUUUUGCAUACCCAUGCAUUUGCAUACAUACACAUACAUUUGCAAACCCUUUCCACUUUCU
RNAcentral lists this long non-coding RNA (202 nucleotides) under Lathyrus oleraceus (garden pea). RNAcentral's name for it is "Pisum sativum (pea) long non-coding RNA (PSAT_LNC010572)". The record is from RNAcentral. Lineage: Eukaryota; Viridiplantae; Streptophyta; Magnoliopsida; Fabales; Fabaceae.